Long non-coding RNA from Hylaeus anthracinus, 1428 nucleotides. RefSeq lists it as uncharacterized. NCBI's taxonomy places the organism in Eukaryota, Metazoa, Arthropoda, Insecta, Hymenoptera, Colletidae. The record is from RefSeq and is a predicted model, not a curated record. The transcript has 5 exons.
AUGUAUGUUUAGAUAAGAAUCUUGCUCGAUCGUUGGUCCGCACCAUCGAUAUCAAAAAGAAGAGGGAUAGCUGAGGGAGUGAGAAAGGGAGAAGAAGAUGUGUGCCCAGCGAGAGGGAAAAAAUUAAGGAAAGGAAGGUGGCUGCGAAGGUUGGCCGCGAAAGACUACAGGUCCAACGGAAGAGGUCCGGUUCAGGUAGCAGGUGCGACUUUGCGCACAGGAGUUGCUUAUCAAAAGAUCAAAAAAUGUUGGACCUUGAUGCCUUCUCCACCGUGGAGUUCAACAUUUUUGGUCGCGAGUUUCCUUAUCGAGCAGCCUGGUUGUGUCAAUACCGUUACCGACGACGAUCGGAUGUUCGCCGCGCGGAAAUCGAAUCGCUUAGUCAUUGUUUCCAUACUAUUGGGGCUACUCGAAGGCCAAAGGUGUUCGAUUAUAUCGCGAAGCGUUUUCCCGUCAAUCGUCGGAUACGAUCACGCUACGAAAGUACGUACAUAUCUUGUGAAAAAUACGAAAAAUGUGUUUGGAGAGCAAGAUCGGGUAGCGCCGCAUCCAUUGCUCUCGAAUCUAUGUAGCGUACCGAUAAUUCUGAUCACGAGUGCGUAGCAGAGAGUUGUUCACGAGCGAGUUCGUCUAUUUUUGGAGCAGCCAUGCAAUCAUCGCGAUUAAAGAUAAAAAUAUCAGUGAAAGGGGAGAUCGGCGUGAAAGAAAGUUUGGAACGCAGUGGACGGGCGAUUAGACGGGCGGACAGUUCGGAGGUGGAUUCCACUACGUGAUGGGUCAUGUUGGAUGGCGAUUAAAGCGCGCUAUCGCGCACCACGAUGCUGAUUUAACACAGUCUUCGGUUCUUGAUCACUUCACACGCACUGGUUUCAUAAGUUGAACCCCACGAGACACGUGCAGCGGACAGGUUCAAAACGAGCGAGCGAUUCCUGUCCGAUUUAUUUCUCUAUACGGGGUGCGUUCGAUCCUUGCGAUUGGUAAUCCAAAAUACUCAGAGACACUCGAAGAACUGACCGCGAGCGACAACGUUGGCUCGAAUCCAAAGACUGAAGACGAGGAUCACGGAAGCGCAGCGGAUCCUCGCUCGAUCGCGGUCGACGAUGUACUGACUCGCCUCGUGCGUUCGAGCCUCUUUCAUCGGAUACGCGUGCGAGGGAGUCCCGACUGGCCUGCGACUUCGCUGCCUCUUACCACUACCAACGCUAUCGCACCGCUGUAUUGGCUACCCGCGCACGGACACCACUACCAACGCGAUGGGCGUCGUUUCGUUUACUAGCGUGCACGUACUGUUAAAUGAGCGGGGACCAAAUACUUCAACGUUGUAGCAGUAACCUAUAUUGCUGGAUAUUAACAACAUGCCAUGGACUACCAUACUCGCAAUGUGUCCAGAAGGAACGGAACCAAAAACUGGCUUAAUUUUUGAAAACC